This 99-nucleotide ribosomal RNA is filed under the name uncultured labyrinthulid quahog parasite. RNAcentral's name for it is "partial 18S ribosomal RNA". It matches the Rfam family "Eukaryotic small subunit ribosomal RNA", at positions 1294 to 1392 of the family's 1831-position model. Lineage: Eukaryota; Bigyra. The record is from RNAcentral.
UUAGUUGGUGGAGUGAUUUGUCUGGUUAAUUCCGUUAACGAACGAGACCUCAGCCUACUAAAUAGUACUGCUUUUCGCAAGAAAGGUAGAGACUUCACG